CUCCUACGGGCGGCAGCAGUGAGGAAUCUUGCGCAAUGGGGGCAACCCUGACGCAGCAACGCCGCGUGAGUGAGGAAGGUCUUCGGAUCGUAAAGCUCUGUCGGGUGGGAAGAAACGUAUGGAAGCUAAUACCUUUCAUGCUUGACGGUACCACCAAAGGAAGCACCGGCUAACUCCGUGCCAGCAGCCGCGGUAAUACGGGGGGUGCAAGCGUUGUUCGGAAUCAUUGGGCGUAAAGGGCGUGUAGGCGGCUUGGUAAGUCAGAUGUGAAAGCCCUGGGCUUAACCCAGGAAGUGCAUUUGAUACUGUCAGGCUUGAGUAGGGGAGAGGAAGGUGGAAUUCCUGGUGUAGAGGUGAAAUUCGUAGAUAUCAGGAGGAACACCGGUGGCGAAGGCGACCUUCUGGCCCUAUACUGACGCUGAGACGCGAAAGCGUGGGUAGCAAACAGGAUUAGAUACCCCAGUAGUCCCG
RNAcentral lists this ribosomal RNA (471 nucleotides) under uncultured Syntrophaceae bacterium. Its description in RNAcentral is "bacterial SSU rRNA". It matches the Rfam family "Bacterial small subunit ribosomal RNA", at positions 336 to 799 of the family's 1533-position model. Lineage: Bacteria; Pseudomonadati; Thermodesulfobacteriota; Syntrophia; Syntrophales; Syntrophaceae. The record is from RNAcentral.